This is a non-coding RNA of Meleagris gallopavo (turkey), 4555 nucleotides long. NCBI's taxonomy places the organism in Eukaryota, Metazoa, Chordata, Aves, Galliformes, Phasianidae. The record is from RefSeq and is a predicted model, not a curated record.
CUGGAUGGCUCGGGACCCAAGUGGAGCGCCCUGCACUUGGCCUUCUUGAACCUCAUUAGGUCUUCAUGGGCAUGAAUCCACUCCAGUUCUGAGCAAAGGCUGUUCUCACAAUACAGAAAGGCUGUUCUCAUGAUUCAGGAGACAGCUAGAGCUGGGGAAUGGAUGCAUGGCACCUUAAAUCUGACCAGGAAGAAAAUUAGGAGAAAGGAAUGCAGACAAUGCCAACAAAUUUAAGGGGGUUAAGGAAUCAGCCCCACUGCUGCAAGCAUGGUCAAGACUUUAUUCUCCCACUUGAUGGUCAGGGUGAGGAACUUCACUUGCCUGGAGAGUCAUCAAACAAAGCUGCUGAAUACUUUGCUGGGCUCCACAGUGGGCCAGAGCUCCACCAGGACUGAGACUUGCUGCCCAUCACUGAGGAUCACAACUCAGAACUUCUCCAUAGGCACUGACGAGCAGUGCAGAGAGCAAGGAAGCCAAGGCAGCGUUGCAGUCAUCCUCCAAAAGUCAGGUCCUGCCAAUCACGAAACAUAUGUUUGAAUGCUGGUCCAAAUAUUUGGAAGAGAUAUGAGUGAGAUGGGAAGAAGCAGAUUUCUUUGCAGGUGUCACUGCUGGAGCUCUGGGCUCUCCAGCUGCCUGGGCUGGUGGGAAAGGGGUAUGUGUGGCUGGGGGGAAUCCUCUUUACUUGUUUCUUUGUUUUUGUAAUGAUAAAAGGAGGGAAAACAAAUGGAAUCAAGCAAGUAUUUCUGCAAGGUUGGAUCAAACGCAUCCUAACGUCACUGGGAAGAAAAGGGGAUUUAAGAAGAAGACAGACUGGUAAUGGGGUUAUUUGAAGUAAAAUAACGGAGAAGUGAAGAUGACUCUUGUGCAGCCAAAUAAAAUAAAAACCAGUAAAGACCAAUAUGGCCUCAUCGUGGUCAAUGGAGUCCCAGGAAACUAGUAAGAACCAAUAGGAAUGCACAUCUGCAUGCCCCAGGCCAGUGCUGGCCUCUGACUGUGGCUUUAGGCCCCGGGGCCAAUGUUGGCCUCCUGGGCUGUGGCUUCGUGCCCCAGGGCCAGUGCCAGCCUUAUGGGCUGGGGCUGGGGCUUUAGGCCCUUGGGCCGGUGCCGACCUCACUGUCUGGGGCUCAGGCCCCAGGGCUGGUGUAGGCCUCUCGAGCUGGGAGAAGUUCCUGUGGAAAGAGCCCUCAGAACUUUGGCUUCCUCUGUGACUUCAGCGGUCAUGUCUCAGCCAGGAGAUGACUGCUAUUCCUCUUUCUGCUCUGUAAGUGGAAAGAAGCAGCACAGCGCGGUUCCCCGUGUUUGGGAACAGCAACCAGCAGGCUGCCAGAGAUCCAACAGUGCCUUACAGCGCACAGAGGGACGCGAUGCGGACGGAUCGUCCUUACUGCCAUACAAAAGGAUGGAGCCUGUGUGUUCAUUGAACAGUGCUGUGCGUGCGGGAAAACGGAAAGCCUCUGCAGGUAAGAAGCUCUUGUGAGCUGUGGUGUGGGUACCUGCCUCUAAACAAGGCUGCAUGAAGGGUGGUGUGUGUAAUGGAGGAGAGAGGAAAGGACAUGGCAGAUUUGUGCUGACUGUGGAAAUGACACACCGUUGUAGCAGCAGAAAGGCAAACUGAGGAAACUGCUCUUGAAGAGGAGAAUUUUGUGGUUGGCUGUGCUAAAAUCUUCCACCAAAGAGAUGCUCUUCAUGUCUUUCUUGUUUCCUUUCUGUCAGAAGCUGAUGCAAGCGGCCUUUCAGCAAAGUGUAGCUUUGCAGAAAGCCAGGGCAGAAGCACAGAGUGUGACAUUGCAUCAAAGAGAGGUACAGACACACAACAGGCAUCUGGGUUUGGUGCACUGUCUUUCUAGUUAGGCUUUCUGUCUGUUUUUUCCUGGACUGUUGUUGUGUGUUGCUUGGGGUCUUAAUCCCUGGGAUUUACCGUUACCUUUCCUGUCCUGAUUUGUAAUGUGAACUCAAUGUUCAGCCAAGAUCCUAAGGUCCCUUACUGUGAACACAACAUGGGAGAGCUGGCAUUGACCCUUUGGGAUUUUCUUGCUUUUCCCACCAGUAACGAGCAGCUCGGAUGUGCUGGACGACAUCAUGGACAUUCUGGGUCUGCUGUCUUGGAUUAAUGGUGAUUUUGAAGGCUCCAGAGCCCUCUAGUGUGCAUCUGCACAGAGUGGAUGUGGGAAGGCUGUCAUUGCCAUUUUGGGGGAUGUUCUUGCUUUUUCAGAUGUGGCAAGAGCUGUCGAGGUUCCCCAUGAGAACCACAGCAGCCCUGCCCCAGAAUGCUUCAUCGCUGGGCUCCCUGUCAUCCCCCAGGACAGCAGAGAGCUCAGCACAGAGGCACAGGCUGCCACCAGGACCCCCACUGACCCCUUCUGGGGGUUUCCACCAUCCCCUGGGCUCCUGUCUGAGCUGGUUGUCUCAGUGGCACCCUGUCAUUCCACGUGGGAGUGCACGGCUCAGCCGUCUGCCGACCACCCUGUCUGUAACCACACCUCCCUCAGCCCAAACCACACAGCUCAUUGAGGAGGUGCAGAAAAGGCAGCCCCAGGGGGCUCAGGUUCACUCGCCACCAUCACUGGGCUCUGUCCUCUGCUAGGUGGCAGAAAAGAACAGGGGCGGCAGGAAGUGGGCCAAGCGCCCUGUGCCUGCUGGCACUCCCCAAAAAGGGGAGAGCUCCCAACAGGAGCAGCCCACCAGCAGCGCCCCAGCCAAGAAAAGGAAGCUGCUGCCAUGCAAGAAAAGAAAAGAAAGAAAAGGCUGCAGACACCUGCGCCAAGAGAAGCUGUCUGGGGCCAGCACAGGAGCCAGCAGCAGCGGGCAAGCAGGCACUGCUAGCAAGAUGCACAUGCACUUAUGUGAAUCCAUCCAGGCUGCGCAACCGCUGGGGCAGAGGGUGACUACGGUGGGGCCAGUGCGCCAGCCAAGCUCUUUGCAGCCCCAGCCCACACCCAGCAAUGGGCCAGCUUCCCCCCAGCCCCAAGCUGGCAGCACAGACAAGGCAGCGCCGGCACCUCCAGGCAGGAUGGCGCAAGAGGAGGACGCUGCCAAGAAGAUGGCACUGAGCUGCCUGUGCCCGUCCAUGCUGAAGUGCUCACUGCUGUGGAGGGACCCACUGUCAAAGCUGCAACAGCAGCAGCCUCGACCGCAGACCCAAUGCAGUUCGUGCCCUGCGUGGGGCCAUGGGCGAGCGGUGGUGCAGCACCCAUAGUGAUCGAGGAAUCACUGCCCAUCACACCUGAGCAGCAGCCCGAGCGAGAGUGCAUGAAGAAGCUGGCCCAGGAGGAGCGGCAGCGGGCAGCCCGGCAGAUGAAGAUCGGCCCCGUGCAGUUCCUGUUGCAGCGGGAGACAGACAUGGCCAUAGCUGACCAGUACGGCUACGUGUAACCUGUGCUCCUCGCCAGCCCUGCAGCACCAGACAUCAGCAGCAACGUUCCAGGGGCUCCACCAGUAGCCCCAUCAUUCCCAUCCAGAACUGAGCCAUCCUCCAAAGUCAUCAUUGCAGUGGAUGGGACAUUAUCUGGGCACUGAACUUGUUGUGGGAUGGGAAUUUUGUGGAUAUUGUCAUUUCUUUUACUCGUUGUUUGCUAUGCUAUGUUAUUAAAUGCUUUCUGUUCCCUUUGCUACACCUCUGCCUGCAGUCAUUGUGCUGUGUCACAGCCCCUCAGCUCCUUUUGGCAGGAUAGGGCACCACAGAUGGCCGUGUCCCUCAGCUGCCACCACCAGCCCCAACCUUCCUCUCUCUCUGCCAUGCUUUGCACAGUAGGAUGCAGAGAGGGGUUUCAUACAGCUUGCCUGCACUGCCUGUGCCAGUACCAUGAAUUGCUGUGGGGAUGGGCACCAGGCAGGGCAUGGGCUGAUGGAGGUGGAAUCGCCUUGGGUCACUGUGGCCAGAAGAGGCUCAGGGAACAGUGGCAGCAGGGGAAGUUCCCAUGGAGUGGGGAGAAAUCAAUGCGGCCCCGGCAGCAGACAAGCUCAGCCUCAUCCUGCUCUGGGUUACGGUGAAGUGUUACCGUUUGGUGUGAUUGGUGAGUGCUCAGUUACCCUCUUGGGUUAGGCUUUAGGCUUAAGGCUUCCCAGAUUGGGUUAUGCUUAAGGGUUACGUGUCAAGCGUUAUGCGUUCGGGUCAGGUUUAAAAGUUACCCUUUUGGGUGAGGGCGAAGCGUUAAGGUGAAUGGUUUUGGGUUUGUAUUACCAGUUUCUCUCUGGGGUUAGGCUUAAGUGUUAUCAGUUUGGGUUAAGGGUUAUGGCGUUACGGAAGGGUAAAGGGUUACCAUAUUGUAUAAGGGGUAAGAGUUAUGGGUUCCCAUUUUUGGUUUGGUUUAAUGGUUGCCCUUUUGGAUUUGGAUUAGGGUUUAGGAUUCAGGGAUAUCCUUUUGCAUUAGUCUCAAGAUUUACCUUUUUUGGACAUUGCUAGUGGUUACCAUUUUGUGUUAGCGAUAAGUGUGAAGGGUCACACAUUUAUGUUAUGUAUUAGAGUUAUCACAUUCACAGAAAUUCAUAGGAAUAUACGUAGGAAAAAAAAUUACGGAAAGAAAGAAACUGCAAAGAAGAAAUCAACAAAAGUAGA